GGAUGUGAGGGCUAUCUGGCUGAGGCAUCUGUAACCCCAUUGAUUGCCAGAGUUGAUUUGGCUGAUCUGGCUGGCUAGUUGGGAGUCCCCUUCCUUCCUCACCGAUUCAUGUUUGUCCCUUCCAAAGCUUUGUGCUUGGUCGAAGAGGACGGCUUUCCCUGAAUAGAGAAGGACUGGUCUUUAGUCGAGGGUAUACAAGUAGCUGUGCUCCCCUGCUAGAACCUCCAAACGAAAAAAAAAAUGAGUAACAUCUUUUAACUGCAACUAAAUUUUCAUCAAUUUUAAGCUACAUCAUGACCAUCUGGUAAAAGCU
Molecule: small nuclear RNA, 313 nt
Filed under: Sorex araneus (European shrew)
Lineage: Eukaryota; Metazoa; Chordata; Mammalia; Eulipotyphla; Soricidae
Description: 7SK RNA (ENSSARG00000018010.1)
Rfam family: 7SK RNA
About the family: 7SK was discovered as an abundant small nuclear RNA in the mid-70s but a possible function has only recently been suggested. Two independent studies have found that 7SK RNA binds the CDK9/cyclin T complex (known as elongation factor P-TEFb).
Source: RNAcentral